RNAcentral lists this ribosomal RNA (472 nucleotides) under uncultured bacterium. RNAcentral's name for it is "bacterial SSU rRNA". It matches the Rfam family "Bacterial small subunit ribosomal RNA", at positions 28 to 507 of the family's 1533-position model. The record is from RNAcentral.
GAUGAACGCUAGCUAUAGGCUUAACACAUGCAAGUCGAGGGGUAACAAGAGAAAAGCUUGCUUUUCUUGUUGACGACCGGCGUACGGGUGAGUAACACGUAUCCAACCUACCGUUUACAUGGGGAUAGCUCUUCGAAAGAAGGAUUAAUACCCGAUGUUAUAUAGACUUCGCAUGGAGUUUAUAUCAAAGAUUUAUCGGUAAACGAUGGGGAUGCGUUCCAUUAGACAGUUGGUGAGGUAACGGCUCACCAAAUCAACGAUGGAUAGGGGUUCUGAGAGGAAGGUCCCCCACAUUGGAACUGAGACACGGUCCAAACUCCUACGGGAGGCAGCAGUGGGGGAUAUUGCGCAAUGGGGGCAACCCUGACGCAGCAACGCCGCGUGAAUGAAGAAGGUCUUCGGAUUGUAAAAUUCUUUUAUUAAGGACGAACAGAUGACGGUACUUAAUGAAUAAGCUCCGGCUAACUACGUG